Molecule: long non-coding RNA, 1261 nt
Filed under: Takifugu rubripes (torafugu)
Lineage: Eukaryota; Metazoa; Chordata; Actinopteri; Tetraodontiformes; Tetraodontidae
Description: lncRNA (ENSTRUG00000029157.1)
Source: RNAcentral
CCUGGCCAUUAUAGGGUUUAAUUCUUCCUUAUUUCACCUGUCCACACAGUGAGCAGCUGUCAUAACCCAGCAGCAACACUGUUGGAGUUCCAUCUGGGGUGGAUGUGCACUUUGCUGACGGCAAUGAUCUGCUCUGUGCCUCCGUUUUUGUAGAGGUCAUGCUCCCCAAGGACAACACGGUAGGUCAUGGGUCUGUCCACACAGUGAGCAGCUGUCAUAACCCAGCCUCUCUUAAUCAGGGUUCCUCCGCAUGUGUGAUAAUAGUUGCUGCCAGAUCUGUACUGAAGAGAGAUCUGCCAGGGCCAAGAGUUGGGAGAGGCCACUUCACCUCCGACAACCCUCUCAAGGCUAUCCUCGAUGUACCUGGGCUGUGGUCCCAGGUCAGCCAGAACUUGUUAAAAAAGAAAGGAAAACAAAGCUGCAUGAGUUUUAUGUUCCUGCAUCUCCUGUGGUGUUACACAGCAGUGUGUACAGUGUGGUUUUCUUACCCAGGGCUGCAAGGCUUGUCAACACCAGAAACCUCAGCAUGUCUGCACAAUGUCAGAAUGUGUCUGCGAGGAAUCAGACCUUUCCCCCUGCUUUUAUACCUCUCUACAGUGGAAAAUUGAGGCUGUUGUGUCAAGCAUGGGAAACACACCUGUGAUCCGUCUCACAAUGUGUUAUCAGUUGGUCAGCACACACCUCCUACUUUCAAUGUUUAAAAAUGCUGCACAAGGAGCAAAACAAUUAUAACAUAUUUGAUAAAAUCUGUCACAGUUUUCCUUGCUUUGUAUUUGUGGAUGAAAACAUCUUCUUUUCUGGUAAUUUAGGUGGAUAUGUUGAAGAAAGCCUGGGUAAGAUGUACAGGUAGUUUCUUUUCAUACAAAUACUGUGAAUUUUUUCUUUGAGUAAACAUGUUUUUUUUUCCUUGCCAAAAUUCUCCACCUUUAAGUCUUGAGAGAUUUUUGCUUGUUGUGUCUCUCUAACAAAUGGAAAUAAAUACAUACCAAAGAAGUGGCUACCAAUUGAUACAACCAGUCCACUGGAGAUAAGGCACAGAUCCAGUUUAAACCAGUAGCAUGUGGACUGGUUGCUCUCGCAGAAGGACACGUGUGUGUGAUGUGUGUGUUAAGGAAUACAGUCAAUAAACCAGUCUAAAUCAACACAGUUUAAAGAAAAGGUGCACUGCCUGAAGUCUCAAGUUCAAUGAGGGUAAAUUAAUAGUGCCUUAAAAUGGAUCUUUUGAUUUCGUCGCUGUUUAUGAUGAUUGGUUUUAAUUAAA